AUGCAGUCGAACGAUGAAGCCCAGCUUGCUGGGUGGAUUAGUGGCGAACGGGUGAGUAACACGUGAGUAACCUGCCCUUAACUCUGGGAUAAGCCUGGGAAACUGGGUCUAAUACCGGAUAGGAGCGYCYACCGCAUGGUGGGUGUUGGAAAGAUUUAUCGGUUUUGGAUGGACUCGCGGCCUAUCAGCUUGUUGGUGAGGUAAUGGCUCACCAAGGCGACGACGGGUAGCCGGCCUGAGAGGGUGACCGGCCACACUGGGACUGAGACACGGCCCAGACUCCUACGGGAGGCAGCAGUGGGGAAUAUUGCACAAUGGGCGAAAGCCUGAUGCAGCGACGCCGCGUGAGGGAUGACGGCCUUCGGGUUGUAAACCUCUUUCAGUAGGGAAGAAGCGAAAGUGACGGUACCUGCAGAAGAAGCACCGGCUAACUACGUGCCAGCAGCCGCGGUAAUACGUAGGGUGCGAGCGUUAUCCGGAAUUAUUGGGCGUAAAGAGCUCGUAGGCGGUUUGUCGCGUCUGUCGUGAAAGUCCGGGGCUUAACCCCGGAUCUGCGGUGGGUACGGGCAGACUAGAGUGCAGUAGGGGAGACUGGAAUUCCUGGUGUAGCGGUGGAAUGCGCAGAUAUCAGGAGGAACACCGAUGGCGAAGGCAGGUCUCUGGGCUGUAACUGACGCUGAGGAGCGAAAGCAUGGGGAGCGAACAGGAUUAGAUACCCUGGUAGUCCAUGCCGUAAACGUUGGGCACUAGGUGUGGGGACCAUUCCACGGUUUCCGCGCCGCAGCUAACGCAUUAAGUGCCCCGCCUGGGGAGUACGGCCGCAAGGCUAAAACUCAAAGGAAUUGACGGGGGCCCGCACAAGCGGCGGAGCAUGCGGAUUAAUUCGAUGCAACGCGAAGAACCUUACCAAGGCUUGACAUGUUCUCGAUCGCCGUAGAGAUACGGUUUCCCCUUUGGGGCGGGUUCACAGGUGGUGCAUGGUUGUCGUCAGCUCGUGUCGUGAGAUGUUGGGUUAAGUCCCGCAACGAGCGCAACCCUCGUUCCAUGUUGCCAGCACGUAAUGGUGGGGACUCAUGGGAGACUGCCGGGGUCACUCGGAGGAAGGUGAGGACGACGU
This 1117-nucleotide ribosomal RNA is filed under the name Micrococcus sp. Its description in RNAcentral is "bacterial SSU rRNA". It matches the Rfam family "Bacterial small subunit ribosomal RNA", at positions 55 to 1185 of the family's 1533-position model. The record is from RNAcentral. Lineage: Bacteria; Bacillati; Actinomycetota; Actinomycetes; Micrococcales; Micrococcaceae.